Molecule: ribosomal RNA, 388 nt
Filed under: uncultured bacterium
Lineage: Bacteria
Description: bacterial SSU rRNA
Rfam family: Bacterial small subunit ribosomal RNA
Source: RNAcentral
AUUGAACGCUGGCGGCAUGCUUUACACAUGCAAGUCGAACGGCAGCACGAGUGCUUGCACUUGGUGGCGAGUGGCGAACGGGUGAGUAAUGCAUCGGAACGUACCUUUCAGUGGGGGAUAACGUAGCGAAAGUUACGCUAAUACCGCAUAUUCUGUGAGCAGGAAAGCAGGGGAUCGCAAGACCUUGCGCUGAUUGAGCGGCCGAUGUCAGAUUAGCUAGUUGGUGAGGUAAAGGCUCACCAAGGCGACGAUCUGUAGCGGGUCUGAGAGGAUGAUCCGCCACACUGGAACUGAGACACGGUCCAGACUCCUACGGGAGGCAGCAGUGGGGGAAUUUUGGACAAUGGGGGCAACCCUGAUCCAGCCAUGCCGCGUGAGUGAAGAAGGC